Molecule: long non-coding RNA, 386 nt
Filed under: Elaeis guineensis (African oil palm)
Lineage: Eukaryota; Viridiplantae; Streptophyta; Magnoliopsida; Arecales; Arecaceae
Description: long non-coding RNA (EGUI_LNC076366)
Source: RNAcentral
GGAGUGACUCUUGACAGCAGAGUACUCUGGAGUUAAUCACGUUCAGUGAAAUAUACUCCUACAUUUUACCGCAUGCCAUACCAGCGUCUUCACACUCCUUGAUUAAGAGGCCAACUAACCUAUAUGAUACACAACGAUCUACACUUGAUAUGUCUAUCAUUCUAGUAAUAACAUAUCAUUUGGUCACAAACUCAUUUAAGGACUAAAUGAUAAAUCCUCCUUUAUCGAUUUAAAAUAGUUCUAAGGACUUUCAUCAUAAUACAGAAGUUCGAUGAAGAAGAUGUACAAGCUUAUGAUGAAAAUUAUUAAAUAAAUAUUUUAUUAAUUAAUUCAUAUACAAUUAUAUUAAAUAGCACAACCAUUAACAGGCUGACGAUUAGCUUUGG